RNAcentral lists this long non-coding RNA (2757 nucleotides) under Ananas comosus (pineapple). Its description in RNAcentral is "long non-coding RNA (ACOM_LNC021950)". Lineage: Eukaryota; Viridiplantae; Streptophyta; Magnoliopsida; Poales; Bromeliaceae. The record is from RNAcentral.
UUACGAAAGUUUUCGUACUUGUAAGUUAUUUUCAAUAAUGGGACAUUCGAUUCAACGAUUGACUCCGCUGGGCAUGAUUUACACGAUUAUAAUUAUUUAGAAAUUAAAUUUUAUAAUUUUUCAAUAUUAUUUACUAAGUGAUCAAAGGGUCUUAAAAAUGACUAUUUUAACGACCGAUGUGGCACAUUUGUAAGUUCAACGGUAUAGAAAAAUUCAAAUUACAUAAAACUUUAAUAAAAAAUUCUACUUAAUAUUAAGACUGGAACAAUACUUUUCUUUUAAAAUUUGAGUCUUUUAUCACUAUUUUUUAUGAGAUUUUUAUUUGCAGUAGUUCAUUUUAAGGCUACUCGCUCAUUAGAAAAAUAAAGCAAAAAAUUAUAAAAUUUGAUUUCUAAAUAAUUUUAAUAGUGUAGAUCAUACCCAACAGCCGACCGUCGAAUCAGACAUCUUAUUGUUGAAAAUAACUUACAAACACGAAAAACUUGGUAAUGCCAAGUGCUUGCAAGUUUUCCACCGUUAGAUUUAUCAAGACUUCUAUUCUUUUAGAGGAUAAUAGCUGGACUCAUACAGAAUCCAGCUAUCAUCAUAUAUAUAUAUAUAGAGCCCGGCUACUAUACUCUUAUGAGUACGAUUGCCCUCAUACUCAUAAGUUGUUUUCAAUGAUAGAGCUUCUGAAUCGAUGAUCCAUACCGUUAAACAUUAUUUAGAGCAUUUAAAAUUUUUAGAAAUCAAAUUUCAUAAUUUUUCGACAUCAUUUACCUUACGAUCAAAAGCUCACAAAAUUGACAAUUUUUCAUGGCUGGUAUGGAAUACUUGCUAGUUUAACGGUGUAAAAGAAUUGGAAUAUGUUGAAUUUUUGAUAGAAAAUUAUAUUCACUACCUAGAUAAAGAUCAAUAAUUCCGAUCUUAAAUUAAAGGAUCCGAUUAUCUAUUUUUAAGACGUCGUUCGAUUUUGACCGUUCAUUUUAUGUCCGUUUGAUGGACUUUAUUAUGAUUUCGAAAAAUUACAAAAUUUAUUUUCUGUAAGUUUCAAAUACUCUAGAUCAUAUUUAACAGAAUGGAUCGUCGAUUCGGAAGCCCCAUCAUUGAAAAUAAUUUAUGAGUACGAAGGGCCCAAUACUCAUAAGAGUUAUAGUAGCCCUAAUAUAUAUAUAUAUAUAUAUAUAUAUAUAGANAGAGAGAGAGAGAGAGAGAGUUGGGCUAGAAUAUUAUUAAUAGUAUUUUCCUCCAUUUGUCAAGCUUUUAGCUUUUAAAGCAAUUCUUUUGAUUAUUUCUUACCAUUGGAUUAAAUAUUAUAAAACAGUGAGGACCACUCAACCUUAGAGAGACCAUUCAACUAUAACACCCCAAUAGUCCCAUAUCGGAUGGAAAACUAAUUCUGAUUAGAAUAUAUGAGGCCUAUACGCUAGUAAUAAUAAUUUGGCUUAAACAUUUUGGGCUGAUGGUUUGGGCCCAACAAGUUAUUAUUACUAGUGGGUUGGGUCAUUACAUUUCGUAUCAGAGCCAAUUAGCAGCUAGAAGUGUCAGAGUUAAGUGCUAUGCGGGACAACAUGCUACACCAACGAAUUUAGUGGGAGCCACCUCUUAAACCCGUAGAAGCCACUUCUAAAAUCUCACAUCGUCUGUUAAUUUUGGUCAUGAUCUGUCUGUUUGUGAUCUAGUUUGGACCCGACUCAUAAGAGUAUAGUAGUCGGACUCAUGUAUAUAUACUCUUAUGAGUAGGACUACUAUACUCUUAUAAGUAUAGAAUCCUUCGUACUCAUAAGUUAUUUUUAAUGAUGGAACUUCCGAAUCAGUGAUCUACGCCGUUUAAUAUGAUCUAGAGUAUUUGAAACUUUUAAAAAAUAAAUUUCAGAAUUUUUCGAAAUCAUAAUAAAGUUGAUGAAGCAGGCAUAAAAUGGACCAUGAAAAUCGUACGACGUUCUAAAAAUGGAUAAUCGGAACUUUCAAUUUAAGAUCGGAAUUAUUAAUCUUUAUCUCACCGGUGAAUAAAAUUUUCUAUCAAAUAUUCAAUUAAAACAAUUUCGAUAAUUCUAAUAUUUUUUAAAAAAAUAAUUGAACAAAACUCAUUAAUUACAUGUACACUUUACAAGAAACUAAAUCCUAAAUAAAAAUCAAAAGAUAAUAUUUAUUAUUAUUUUGCUCUAUAAAAACUAGUUGAGUGCAAAGCUAGCAUUUAACUCUCUUCUAAUUAACUUGAGUAGAGUUAUAAAAGUUUCAGGUAAGGCCAUUUGCAUCAAUUUACUUGUGUGGAGAGUCAACUAUAAUCUAUAACUCAAUAUGAUUUUUCAAUAUAAUAGCUGAUAUGGCAAGUCCUUAUUUUUUUGAACUUUUCUAUUUUUUUUUCUUUUUAUAAGUAGACCUCUCUCUCUUCCCUCCUUUCACCGUACAUCUCUUCAUCUCUCCCCUAUCUCACCGUAUGUUUCCUUUAUCUCCCCUUUAUCCCACCGUAUAUCCCUUCAUCUUCAACCCGCUCUUUCAAGAAAAUUCCCGUCCUCCCAUCUCCCUCUCUCUCUUCCACCAACCCAUAUCUGUUCUCUCCUUCCUUUUUUUUAGGUUUCAAAUUAUUAUUAAUAAUAAUUUUUAACUACUAAUUUUUAUAAUUUUGAUUUGAUUUAAUAUAGAGAAGAAGUAAAUGAUAAUGAAUUUAAGAGCUAUGAAUCGAAUUCGCUUCGAGUAAGAUUUUAUAUUUUUAUGAAUUAAAAAAAAAAAAUUUCUUUCUCAAAUUUUUUUUUUCUUCUAAUUUUAUUUUAUUUU